Molecule: ribosomal RNA, 421 nt
Filed under: uncultured eukaryote
Lineage: Eukaryota
Description: SSU rRNA
Rfam family: Eukaryotic small subunit ribosomal RNA
Source: RNAcentral
UAAUAGCGUAUAUUAAAGUUGUUGCGGUUAAAAAGCUCGUAGUUGGAUUUCUGUUGAAGCAGCCGGUCCGCACUACGUGCGUGUAUCUGGUUUGGUUUCGGCAUCCUCUCGAAACACGCUACUGUGCUUGAUUGCAUGGUGCGGGGUUCGGGACUUUUACUUUGAGGAAAUUAGAGUGUUCACGGCAGGCAUUCGCCUUGAAUAUAUUAGCAUGGAAUAAUAAUAUAGGAUCUGAUGCCUAUUUUGUUGGUUUCUAGGUGUUAGAUAAUGAUUAAUAGGGACAAUUGGGGGGAUUCGUAUUACGGCGUCAGAGGUGGAAUUCUUGGAUUGCCGUACGACGAACUACUGCGAAAGCAUUUCUCAAGGAUGUUUUCAUUGAUCAAGAACGAAAGUAAGGGGAUCGAAGAUGAUUAGAUACCAU